AUGCAAAAAAAAAAAAAAUGGAUUGCAGCCAAGGAUCGUUUUGAUAUUCAUAUGCCGAGGCUACAUCCAGACACGUGGGCGCGUGACAUUCUGUUGGAUCAGAUGUUCUCCGACGACGCCAGAUGUAAGAUCAUAACCACCAUGCACUCUAUUUGGUCUUCUCGCAAUAGAUGGACUCAUGAUCAGGAGGGUUAUGAACCAAUGAUGGCAAUCAAACGGGUUCAUGAGAAUCUCUCUCUCCUAGAGAUUCCAGGGCACCGGAUAGCUUCAACUUCCGGUCUGCUUUGGAGACCUCCUGAGGCAGGAUGGAUCAAGAUAAACACUGACGAUUCAGUGUUUGAUGAUGCACCUGCGGAUGGAGCAGGAGGAGUAGCACGAUCUCACCUAGCUUUCUUGGGAGCUUGGUGUAAGCCAUUGCCGGGUGUCUCGGACCCUUUCAUUUCGGAGUUGUUGGCUCUACGGAAGGGGUAA
This 471-nucleotide ribosomal RNA is filed under the name Triticum aestivum (bread wheat). RNAcentral's name for it is "partial small subunit ribosomal RNA". The record is from RNAcentral. Lineage: Eukaryota; Viridiplantae; Streptophyta; Magnoliopsida; Poales; Poaceae.